UGGGGAAUUUUGGACAAUGGGCGAAAGCCUGAUCCAGCAAUGCCGCGUGUGUGAAGAAGGCCUUCGGGUUGUAAAGCACUUUUGUCCGGAAAGAAAUCCUUGGCUCUAAUACAGUCGGGGGAUGACGGUACCGGAAGAAUAAGCACCGGCUAACUACGUGCCAGCAGCCGCGGUAAUACGUAGGGUGCAAGCGUUAAUCGGAAUUACUGGGCGUAAAGCAUGCGCAGGCGGUUUGCUAAGACCGAUGUGAAAUCUCCGGGCUCAACCUGGGAACUGCAUUGGUGACUGGCAGGCUAGAGUAUGGCAGAGGGGGGUAGAAUUCCACGUGUAGCAGUGAAAUGCGUAGAGAUGUGGAGGAAUACCGAUGGCGAAGGCAGCCCCCUGGCAAGUACUGACGCUCAUGCACGAAAAGCGUGGGGAGCAAACAGGAUUAGAUACCCUGGUAGUCCACGCCCUAAACGAUGUCAACUAGUUGUUGGGGAUUCAUUUCCUUAGUAACGUAGCUAACGCGUGAAGUUGACCGCCUGGGGAGUACGGUCGCAAGAUU
RNAcentral lists this ribosomal RNA (547 nucleotides) under uncultured bacterium. RNAcentral's name for it is "partial 16S ribosomal RNA". It matches the Rfam family "Bacterial small subunit ribosomal RNA", at positions 355 to 895 of the family's 1533-position model. The record is from RNAcentral.